This 253-nucleotide ribosomal RNA is filed under the name uncultured bacterium. RNAcentral's name for it is "partial 16S ribosomal RNA". It matches the Rfam family "Bacterial small subunit ribosomal RNA", at positions 524 to 776 of the family's 1533-position model. The record is from RNAcentral.
GACAGAGGUCCCGAGCGUUGUUCGGAUUCAUUGGGCGUAAAGCGCGUGUAGGCGGCUUAGCAAGUCGGGCGUGAAAGCCCUCGGCUCAACCGAGGAAGUGCACCCGAAACUGCUGAGCUUGAGUGCCGGAGAGGAUGGCGGAAUUCCCCAAGUAGAGGUGAAAUUCGUAGAUAUGGGGAGGAACACCGGUGGCGAAGGCGGCCAUCUGGACGGUAACUGACGCUGAGACGCGAAAGCGUGGGUAGCAAACAGG